Molecule: long non-coding RNA, 748 nt
Filed under: Vulpes vulpes (red fox)
Lineage: Eukaryota; Metazoa; Chordata; Mammalia; Carnivora; Canidae
Description: lncRNA (ENSVVUG00000030031.1)
Source: RNAcentral
GCCUCAUUCACGUUUCUAUUGUUUGCUAUGGUUGCCAGGAAACCAAAGUUCCAAGCAAGCAAAGGAAAUCACUGCACGAGUAACUAUGGAAUGCCUAUGAGCCUGCUCAUUUCUCCAAAAUGUAGUGAGUUUCAGAAAGCAAGUAGAUCUACUGGAAGGACUGGGAAAUCAAAAGCAAAUGAACAGGACUUCAUGUCAACAGAUGUUACUAGAAUUCUGUAAUGGGCAAAUGUGCUCCAUGCCAACCUAAAAAACGAGCACUGCCAAAGUUGUUGCAUUCAUUCAAGUUCCAGUUCUCAGCUCUCGAUCUUUCCUUCUUUCUUAUACACUGCAUAGAACUCACGUCUAAGGUAAUGCAUGCAUCCUGCACCCUGCUCAUGUCGAAACUCUACGUCAAAGAUCCUCCUCGUGUCCAGUUCUUUUCCUAUCAUUCCACGCUUGAUGUUCUAGUUUGUGUAUAUUUUUGUAGAUAAUUAUACUCCUAGAAUAUCUAGGCUUCUUUGAACAAUCAUAACAUUACAUUGGAACAGUUUUUGUAGCACUUAUCAUUUUCUACUUUAUAUUACUGUUAAUAUAUCCAUGUAUUGAAAUCACUACUAAAUGUUAUGUUUGUUUAGGCUAAUAUCUAUGUAUCUAUAUCUAUGUUUAUCCCAUCUCCCAUGUCACCCAAAUAGUGCCGGGAAAAUAUUUUGACUCUGUAAAGUGAUUUUUAAAUAAAUAUUGUGAAAGAAAUCUGUGAAUAAAACCC